GGGGGCAUUCUUAGGCUAUACUGCAAGUCGAGCGGACAGAUGGGAACUUGCUCCCUGAUGUUAGCGGCGGACGGGUGAGUAACACGUGGGUAACCUGCCUGUAAGACUGGGAUAACUCCGGGAAACCGGGGCUAAUACCGGAUGGUUGUUUGAACCGCAUGGUUCAGACAUAAAAGGUGGCUUCGGCUACCACUUACAGAUGGACCCGCGGCGCAUUAGCUAGUUGGUGAGGUAACGGCUCACCAAGGCGACGAUGCGUAGCCGACCUGAGAGGGUGAUCGGCCACACUGGGACUGAGACACGGCCCAGACUCCUACGGGAGGCAGCAGUAGGGAAUCUUCCGCAAUGGACGAAAGUCUGACGGAGCAACGCCGCGUGAGUGAUGAAGGUUUUCGGAUCGUAAAGCUCUGUUGUUAGGGAAGAACAAGUGCCGUUCAAAUAGGGCGGCACCUUGACGGUACCUAACCAGAAAGCCACGGCUAACUACGUGCCAGCAGCCGCGGUAAUACGUAGGUGGCAAGCGUUGUCCGGAAUUAUUGGGCGUAAAGGGCUCGCAGGCGGUUUCUUAAGUCUGAUGUGAAAGCCCCCGGCUCAACCGGGGAGGGUCAUUGGAAACUGGGGAACUUGAGUGCAGAAGAGGAGAGUGGAAUUCCACGUGUAGCGGUGAAAUGCGUAGAGAUGUGGAGGAACACCAGUGGCGAAGGCGACUCUCUGGUCUGUAACUGACGCUGAUGAGCGAAAGCGUGGGGAGCUUACACGAUUAGAUAUCUUGGUUAUCCUUAUCCUUAACUAUUAGUGCUAUCUGUUUCGUGAUUUCCCUCCUUAUCUGUCUUCUCA
This 837-nucleotide ribosomal RNA is filed under the name Bacillus sp. (in: firmicutes). RNAcentral's name for it is "bacterial SSU rRNA". It matches the Rfam family "Bacterial small subunit ribosomal RNA", at positions 38 to 854 of the family's 1533-position model. Lineage: Bacteria; Bacillati; Bacillota; Bacilli; Caryophanales; Bacillaceae. The record is from RNAcentral.